AGAGUUUGAUCAUGGCUCAGAACGAACGCUGGUGGCGUGUCUAUACAUGCAAGUCGAGCGAGGCAGCAAUGCCGAGCGGCGAACGGGUGAGUAACGCGUAAGCAAUCUGCCCCAUAUCAGGAAAUACCCGUGCCAACGCGCGGUUAAUGUCCAGGAGAGUGGCCCUCUGCAUGGAGGGUUGACUAGAGAUUUAUCGGUAUGGGAUGAGCUUGCGUCCGAUUAGCUAGUUGGCGGGGCAACGGCCCACCAAGGCGACGAUCGGUAGCCGGCCUGAGAGGGUGAUCGGCCACAUUGGGACUGAGAUACGGCCCAGACUCCUACGGGAGGCAGCAGUAGGGAAUAUUGCACAAUGGGGGAAACCCUGAUGCAGCAACGCCACGUGUGGGAAGAAGCAUUUCGGUGUGUAAACCACUGUCAUGAGGGAAUAAGGCCCGCCUUCGGACGGGAUUGAAUGUACCUUGAGAGGAAGCACCGGCAAACUUCGUGCCAGCCGCCGC
This 497-nucleotide ribosomal RNA is filed under the name uncultured bacterium. Its description in RNAcentral is "bacterial SSU rRNA". It matches the Rfam family "Bacterial small subunit ribosomal RNA", at positions 8 to 518 of the family's 1533-position model. The record is from RNAcentral.